UACGAGGGGGGCAAGCGUUGUUCGGAAUUAUUGGGCGUAAGGGGUGCGUAGGCGGUUUGACAAGUCUUAUGUGAAAUCUAUGGGCUCAACCCAUAGUCUGCAUGAGAAACUGUCGGGCUUGAGAGUGGGAGAGGUGAGUGGAAUUUCCGGUGUAGCGGUGAAAUGCGUAGAUAUCGGAAGGAACACCUGUGGCGAAAGCGGCUCACUGGACCAUUUCUGACGCUGAUGCACGAAAGCUAGGGGAGCAAACAGG
RNAcentral lists this unclassified non-coding RNA (253 nucleotides) under uncultured Acidobacteriaceae bacterium. RNAcentral's name for it is "contains 16S-23S intergenic spacer region". It matches the Rfam family "Bacterial small subunit ribosomal RNA", at positions 524 to 776 of the family's 1533-position model. Lineage: Bacteria; Pseudomonadati; Acidobacteriota; Terriglobia; Terriglobales; Acidobacteriaceae. The record is from RNAcentral.